AGUGAACGCUGGCGGUAGGCCUAACACAUGCAAGUCGAACGGCAGCACAGUAAGAGCUUGCUCUUACGGGUGGCGAGUGGCGGACGGGUGAGGAAUACAUCGGAAUCUACUUUUUCGUGGGGGAUAACGUAGGGAAACUUACGCUAAUACCGCAUACGACCUACGGGUGAAAGCAGGGGAUCUUCGGACCUUUCGCGAUUGAAUGAGCCGAUGUCGGAUUAGCUAGUUGGCGGGGUAAAGGCCCACCAAGGCGACGAUCCGUAGCUGGUCUGAGAGGAUGAUCAGCCACACUGGAACUGAGACACGGUCCAGACUCCUACGGGAGGCAGCAGUGGGGAAUAUUGGACAAUGGGCGCAAGCCUGAUCCAGCCAUACCGCGUGGGUGAAGAAGGCCUUCGGGUUGUAAAGCCCUUUUAUUGGGAAAGAAAAGCAGCAGGUUAAUACCCCGCUGUUCUGACGGUACCCAAAGAAUAAGCACCGGCUAACUUCGUG
Molecule: ribosomal RNA, 492 nt
Filed under: uncultured bacterium
Lineage: Bacteria
Description: partial 16S ribosomal RNA
Rfam family: Bacterial small subunit ribosomal RNA
Source: RNAcentral